This 497-nucleotide ribosomal RNA is filed under the name uncultured bacterium. RNAcentral's name for it is "partial 16S ribosomal RNA". It matches the Rfam family "Bacterial small subunit ribosomal RNA", at positions 28 to 507 of the family's 1533-position model. The record is from RNAcentral.
GAUGAACGCUGGCGGCGUGCCUAAUACAUGCAAGUCGAGCGAACAGACGAGGAGCUUGCUCCUCUGACGUUAGCGGCGGACGGGUGAGUAACACGUGGAUAACCUACCUAUAAGACUGGGAUAACUUCGGGAAACCGGAGCUAAUACCGGAUAAUAUAUUGAACCGCAUGGUUCAAUAGUGAAAGACGGUUUUGCUGUCACUUAUAGAUGGAUCCGCGCCGCAUUAGCUAGUUGGUAAGGUAACGGCUUACCAAGGCAACGAUGCGUAGCCGACCUGAGAGGGUGAUCGGCCACACUGGAACUGAGACACGGUCCAGACUCCUACGGGAGGCAGCAGUAGGGAAUCUUCCGCGAUGGGCGAAAGCCUGACGGAGCAACGCCGCGUGAGUGAUGAAGGUCUUCGGAUUGUAAAACUCUGUUAUUAGGGAAGAACAAAUGUGUAAGUAACUAUGCACGUCUUGACGGUACCUAAUCAGAAAGCCACGGCUAACUACGUG